GAAAUGCGAUAAGUAAUGUGAAUUGCAGAAUUCCGUGAAUCAUUAAAUCUUUGAACGCACCUUGCGCUCUUUGGCAAUCCAGAGAGCAUGUCUGUUUGAGAAUCAGUUUAAAUCUCACUCCCCUAGGGCGACCUUUGUGGAGUGGCUUGGACUUUUCAGUGCAAAUUGAAAUGUCUUAAAUGCAAGUUGCCUGGUUUACCCUUUUUAAAGAAACCGGAAAGCAUGACCAAUGGACUGGCUUUUGCCGUGUUCUUGAUUGCUGAUAAUGGACUUUAUCAAGAGUAUUUUUUGGUAAAAUUUAAACACGGAAAUAGCUCGCUAUUUUUAAGACUUGAUCUCAAAUCAGAUAAGACUACCCGCUGAACUUAA
This 369-nucleotide unclassified non-coding RNA is filed under the name uncultured Chytridiomycota. RNAcentral's name for it is "sequence contains ITS1". The stretch from base 1 to 105 matches the Rfam family "5.8S ribosomal RNA", at positions 50 to 154 of the family's 154-position model. The record is from RNAcentral. Lineage: Eukaryota; Fungi; Chytridiomycota.